Molecule: long non-coding RNA, 1443 nt
Filed under: Oncorhynchus mykiss (rainbow trout)
Lineage: Eukaryota; Metazoa; Chordata; Actinopteri; Salmoniformes; Salmonidae
Description: lncRNA (ENSOMYG00000048966.1)
Source: RNAcentral
CAUUCUAAAUAUAGCCUAUAUUUUACCUGUCACACCCUGACCAUAGUAUGCUUUGUAUGUUUCUAUGUUUUGUUUGGUCAGGGUGUGAUCUGAGUGGGCAUUCUAUUCUACUCACUCACUCAGUCAUUCACUCACUCACUCACUCACAACAGGUGUUGUAUUCGGUGCAGGUCUCUCUCUACCUGUAAGGUCCUGUUGUAUUCGAUGCAUGUAUGAGUGAGUGAGUGAGUGAGUGAGUGAGUGAGUGAGUGAGUGAGUGAGUGAGUGAAUGAGUGAGUGAGUGAGUGAGUGAGUGAUAGCAGAGAGAGAGAGAGAGAGACAGAGAGCUUUGUCAAUUCGUAUGAAUGAAUAAUCUUGUAAAACAUGUAUAAAUAUAUCUUCUGUUCAAAUCAAUCUCCAUUUAUUUUGUGUCAUAUUAUCAUCCCACAUCAUCAACACACUUAGAUAAUCGCACUGUUCAACAAUAAAUGACUAAAAGAUGUGUACAUUCAUCACAGUCAGUCAACCACUCCUUGGGUGCAUAAUUACCAUAUUUAAUUUAAAUAACUUACAUCAUGAUAACACCUUAAAACGAUGUGUUGCGAUCAUCACAAUAGUCUGAAUACACAAUAUUAAUACAUUCAUUAUACAGAUGUGUAUUUUCAUAAAAGUCAAGGAAUAAAUCUACUGAUGAAAGUAGCAAAAUGAUGAGUAGUUUGUCUUAAGGACAGAUCCUGUUUGUCUUAAGGACAGAUCCGGUUUGUCCUGUUUGUCUUAAGGACAGGUCCUGUUUGUCCCUGUUACAGGUCCUGUUUGUCUUAAGGACAGAUCCUGUUUGUCUUAAGGACAGAUCCUGUUUGUCUUAAGGACAGGUCCUGUUGUCCCUGUUACAGGUCCUGUUUGUCUUAAGGACAGAUCCUGUUUGUCCCUGUUACAGGUCCCUGUUUGUCCCUGUUACAGGUCCUGUUUGUCUUAAGGACAUAUCCUGUUUGUCCCUGUUACAGGUCCUGUUUGUCUUAAGGACAGAUCCUGUUUGUCUUAAGGACAGGUCCUGUUGUCCCUGUUACAGGUCCCUGUUGUCCUUGUUACAGGUCCCGGUUGUCCCUGUUACAGGUCCUGUUUGUCUUAAGGACAGAUCCUGUUUGUCUUAAGGACAGGUCCUGUUGUCCCUGUUACAGGUCCUGUUGUCCUUGUUACAGGUCCCGGUUGUCCCUGUUACAGGUCCUGUUUGUCUUAAGGACAGAUCCUGUUUGUCCCGGUUGUCCCUGUUACAGGUCCUGUUUGUCCCUGUUACAGGUCCUGUUGUCUCUGUUACAGGUCCUGUUUGUCUUAAGGACAGGUCCUGUUGUCCCUGUUACAGGUCCUGUUGUCCCUGUUACAGGUCCUGUUUGUCCCUGUUACAGGUCCUGUUUGUCUUAAGGACAGAUCCUGUUGUCCCUGUUACAGGUCCUGUUUGUCCCUGUU